This 1443-nucleotide ribosomal RNA is filed under the name uncultured bacterium. RNAcentral describes it as "16S ribosomal RNA". It matches the Rfam family "Bacterial small subunit ribosomal RNA". The record is from RNAcentral.
GCUUAACACAUGCAAGUCGAGGGGCAGCAUGGUCUUAGCUUGCUAAGGCCGAUGGCGACCGGCGCACGGGUGAGUAACACGUAUCCAACCUGCCGUCUACUCUUGGACAGCCUUCUGAAAGGAAGAUUAAUACAAGAUGGCAUCAUGAGUCCGCAUGUUCACAUGAUUAAAGGUAUUCCGGUAGACGAUGGGGAUGCGUUCCAUUAGAUAGUAGGCGGGGUAACGGCCCACCUAGUCUUCGAUGGAUAGGGGUUCUGAGAGGAAGGUCCCCCACAUUGGAACUGAGACACGGUCCAAACUCCUACGGGAGGCAGCGGUGAGGAAUAUUGGUCAAUGGGCGAGAGCCUGAACCAGCCAAGUAGCGUGAAGGAUGACUGCCCUAUGGGUUGUAAACUUCUUUUAUAAAGGAAUAAAGUCGGGUAUGGAUACCCGUUUGCAUGUACUUUAUGAAUAAGGAUCGGCUAACUCCGUGCCAGCAGCCGCGGUAAUACGGAGGAUCCGAGCGUUAUCCGGAUUUAUUGGGUUUAAAGGGAGCGUAGAUGGAUGUUUAAGUCAGUUGUGAAAGUUUGCGGCUCAACCGUAAAAUUGCAGUUGAUACUGGAUAUCUUGAGUGCAGUUGAGGCAGGCGGAAUUCGUGGUGUAGCGGUGAAAUGCUUAGAUAUCACGAAGAACUCCGAUUGCGACGGCAGCCUGCUAAGCUGCAACUGACAUUGAGGCUCGAAAGUGUGGGUAUCAAACAGGAUUAGAUACCCUGGUAGUCCACACGGUAAACGAUGAAUACUCGCUGUUUGCGAUAUACAGCAAGCGGCCAAGCGAAAGCGUUAAGUAUUCCACCUGGGGAGUACGCCGGCAACGGUGAAACUCAAAGGAAUUGACGGGGGCCCGCACAAGCGGAGGAACAUGUGGUUUAAUUCGAUGAUACGCGAGGAACCUUACCCGGGCUUAAAUUGCAGAUGAAUUACGGUGAAAGCUGUAAGCCGCAAGGCAUCUGUGAAGGUGCUGCAUGGUUGUCGUCAGCUCGUGCCGUGAGGUGUCGGCUUAAGUGCCAUAACGAGCGCAACCCUUGUUGUCAGUUACUAACAGGUUCCGCUGAGGACUCUGACAAGACUGCCAUCGUAAGAUGUGAGGAAGGUGGGGAUGACGUCAAAUCAGCACGGCCCUUACGUCCGGGGCUACACACGUGUUACAAUGGGGGGUACAGAGGGCCGCUACCACGCGAGUGGAUGCCAAUCCCAAAAACCUCUCUCAGUUCGGACUGGAGUCUGCAACCCGACUCCACGAAGCUGGAUUCGCUAGUAAUCGCGCAUCAGCCACGGCGCGGUGAAUACGUUCCCGGGCCUUGUACACACCGCCCGUCAAGCCAUGGGAGCCGGGGGUACCUGAAGUGCGUAACCGCGAGGAGCGCCCUAGGGUAAAACUGGUGACUGGGGCUAAGUCAUAACA